CAGCAGUAGCCACGGGAAUACGGAGGGUGCAAGCGUUAAUCGGAAUUACUGGGCGUAAAGCGCACGCAGGCGGUCUGACAAGUCAGAUGUGAAAUCCCCGGGCUUAACCUGGGAACUGCAUUUGAAACUGUCAGGCUGGAGUCUUGUAGAGGGGGGUGGAAUUCCAGGUGUAGCGGUGAAAUGCGUAGAGAUCUGGAGGAAUACCGGUGGCGAAGGCGGCCCCCUGGACAAAGACUGACGCUCAGGUGCGAAAGCGUGGGGAGCAAACAGGAUUAGAUACCCGCGUAGUCCCUGUCUCUUAUAC
RNAcentral lists this ribosomal RNA (304 nucleotides) under uncultured bacterium. RNAcentral describes it as "partial 16S ribosomal RNA". It matches the Rfam family "Bacterial small subunit ribosomal RNA", at positions 506 to 807 of the family's 1533-position model. The record is from RNAcentral.